This is a small nucleolar RNA of Cornus florida, 106 nucleotides long. The record is from RefSeq and is a predicted model, not a curated record. NCBI's taxonomy places the organism in Eukaryota, Viridiplantae, Streptophyta, Magnoliopsida, Cornales, Cornaceae.
AUGUCAUGAUGAAGACACUUCUAGAGAAAAUCUUUGAAUCUGUCCCAAGCCUCAUGAAAAGGCUCCUCAGGUCCUUAAGCAAAACGUGUAAUGACAUCUUGAUACU